RNAcentral lists this ribosomal RNA (460 nucleotides) under uncultured bacterium. RNAcentral describes it as "bacterial SSU rRNA". It matches the Rfam family "Bacterial small subunit ribosomal RNA", at positions 327 to 805 of the family's 1533-position model. The record is from RNAcentral.
AACCGAGAACUCCUACGGGAGGCAGCAGUGGGGAAUUUUGGACGAUGGGGGCAACCCUGAUCCAGCAAUGCCGCGUGAGUGAAGAAGGCCUUAGGGUUGUAAAGCUCUUUUCUCCGGGACGAUAAUGGCGGUACCGGAGGAAUAAGCCCCGGCUAACUUCGUGCCAGCAGCCGCGGUAAUACGAAGGGGGCUAGCGUUGCUCGGAAUCACUGGGCGUAAAGGGCGCGUAGGCGGCUGAUUUAGUCGAGGGUGAAAGCCCGUGGCUCAACCACGGAAUGGCCUUCGAUACUGAUUGGCUUGAGACCGGAAGAGGACAGCGGAACUGCGAGUGUAGAGGUGAAAUUCGUAGAUAUUCGCAAGAACACCAGUGGCGAAGGCGGCUGUCUGGUCCGGUUCUGACGCUGAGGCGCGAAAGCGUGGGGAGCAAACAGGAUUAGAAACCCGUGUAGUCCGACUGAGA